GACGAACGCUGGCGGCGUGCUUAACACAUGCAAGUCGAACGGAAAGGCCCUGCUUUUGUGGGGUGCUCGAGUGGCGAACGGGUGAGUAACACGUGAGUAACCUGCCCUUGACUUUGGGAUAACUUCAGGAAACUGGGGCUAAUACCGGAUAGGAGCUCCUGCUGCAUGGUGGGGGUUGGAAAGUUUCGGCGGUUGGGGAUGGACUCGCGGCUUAUCAGCUUGUUGGUGGGGUAGUGGCUUACCAAGGCUUUGACGGGUAGCCGGCCUGAGAGGGUGAACGGCCACAUUGGGACUGAGAUACGGCCCAGACUCCUACGGGAGGCAGCAGUGGGGAAUAUUGCACAAUGGGCGGAAGCCUGAUGCAGCAACGCCGCGUGCGGGAUGACGGCCUUCGGGUUGUAAACCGCUUUCGCCUGUGACGAAGCGUGAGUGACGGUAAUGGGUAAAGAAGCAACGGCUAACUACGUG
This 468-nucleotide ribosomal RNA is filed under the name uncultured bacterium. Its description in RNAcentral is "partial 16S ribosomal RNA". It matches the Rfam family "Bacterial small subunit ribosomal RNA", at positions 28 to 507 of the family's 1533-position model. The record is from RNAcentral.